This 388-nucleotide ribosomal RNA is filed under the name Syndiniales sp. RNAcentral describes it as "partial small subunit ribosomal RNA". It matches the Rfam family "Eukaryotic small subunit ribosomal RNA", at positions 582 to 974 of the family's 1831-position model. Lineage: Eukaryota; Dinophyceae; Syndiniales. The record is from RNAcentral.
AUUCCAGCUCCAAUAGCGUAUAUUAAAGUUGUUGCGGUUAAAAAGCUCGUAGUUGGAGUUCUGCCAGGUGCCACCUGUCCGCCCCAGUGGUGAGUACGUGGUGCGCAUUUGGCCCUUUCAAGGGGAGCGUAUUUGCACUUAAUUGUGUGGUGCGGGAUCCUUGACUUUUACUUUGAGGAAAUAAGAGUGUUCCAAGCAGGCUCUCGUCGUGCAUAGCUCAGCAUGGAAUAAUAGCAUUGGACCUCGAUUCUAAGCUGUUGGUUGCCAGAAGCGAGGUAAUGAUGAAGAGGGAUAGUUGGGGGCAUUCAUAUUUAAUUGUCAGAGGUGAAAUUCUUGGAUUUAUGAAAGAUGAACUCAUGCGAAAGCAUUUACCAAGGAUGUUUUCAUU